ACAUGCCUACAACAUAGCGUUAAUGCACUAGAUCCCAUUAGAACUCCGCAGUUAAGUGCGCUCAUGAUAGAAUAGUACUAGGAUGAGUGACCGCCUGGGAAGUCCUAGUAUUUUACAUGCC
Non-coding RNA from Picea glauca (white spruce), 121 nucleotides. The record is from Rfam. Lineage: Eukaryota; Viridiplantae; Streptophyta; Pinopsida; Pinales; Pinaceae.